This 392-nucleotide unclassified non-coding RNA is filed under the name soil metagenome. RNAcentral's name for it is "partial contains 5.8S ribosomal RNA, internal transcribed spacer 2, and large subunit ribosomal RNA". The stretch from base 1 to 122 matches the Rfam family "5.8S ribosomal RNA", at positions 35 to 154 of the family's 154-position model. The record is from RNAcentral.
GAUGAAGAACGUAGUGAAAUGCGAUACUUGGUGUGAAUUGCAGAAUCCCGUGAACCAUCGAGUCUUUGAACGCAAGUUGCGCCCGAAGCCAUUAGGCCGAGGGCACGCCUGCCUGGGCGUCACACGUCGUUGCCCCCCCCAUCUACUCCUUCGGGAUUGCGGGGGGCGGAUGAUGGCCUCCCGUGCGCCUCGCCGCGCGGUUGGCAUAAAUGCCAAGUCCUCGGCGACGCACGCCACGACAAUCGGUGGUUGCGAAACCUCGGUUGCCCGUCGUGUGCGGUCGUCGCGCAUCGAGGGCUCGAAAAAAUUGCCGGGCUCCGGCUCGGCUUUCAACGCGACCCCAGGUCAGGCGGGGUUACCCGCUGAAUUUAAGCAUAUCAAUAAGCGGAGGA